RNAcentral lists this ribosomal RNA (509 nucleotides) under Neostylopyga rhombifolia (harlequin cockroach). Its description in RNAcentral is "eukaryotic LSU rRNA". It matches the Rfam family "Eukaryotic large subunit ribosomal RNA", at positions 670 to 1139 of the family's 3401-position model. Lineage: Eukaryota; Metazoa; Arthropoda; Insecta; Blattodea; Blattidae. The record is from RNAcentral.
GGUGACUAACAUGUGUGGGAGUCACUGGGAUGUCGGAGAACACCCACAGGCGAAGUGAAAGCGGGGCCCACUUUUCGCGGUGUCCCAGGGAGUUCGUYGUCGGCAAGACGGGCGGCCGCGCUCGCGGGGCGCCUCGGCCUCCGGCCAGAGUCGCACCCGGAGCGUAAACGUUGGGACCCGAAAAAUGGUGAACUAUGCCUGGUCAGGACAAAUUGAGGGGAAACCAUGAUGGAGAUCCGCAGUGAUUCUGACGUGCAAAUCGAUCGUCAGGGCUGGGUAUAGGGGCGAAAGACUAAUUGAACCAUUUAAUAGCUGGUUYCCUCCGAAGAAAACCUUACGAUAGAUUGCGUCUAUUACGACCGGGACGAGUCUCACCUCUUAAACGAAUGAUUAGAGGCUUUGGGCCGGAAACGACUUCCACCAUUCUCAAACUUUAAUAGGGUGAGAUGUCCAGCUUGCUUGGCAGAAACCACGAGGUCUGGUUCAGGGUGCCAAGUGGGCCAUUUUUG